UGGGGAAUUUUGCGCAAUGGGGGAAACCCUGACGCAGCAACGCCGCGUGCGGGACGAAGGCCUUCGGGUUGUAAACCGCUUUCAGCAGGGAAUAUCGUGAAGGUACCUGCAGAAGAAGCUCCGGCUAACUACGUGCCAGCAGCCGCGGUAAUACGUAGGGAGCGAGCGUUAUCCGGAUUCAUUGGGCGUAAAGCGCGCGUAGGCGGCCCGUCAAGCGGGGUUUCAAAUCCAGGGGCUCAACCUCUGGCCGGACCCCGAACUGGCGGGCUCGAGUGCGGUAGAGGAAGGUGGAAUUCCCAGUGUAGCGGUGAAAUGCGCAGAUAUUGGGAAGAACACCGAUGGCGAAGGCAGCCUUCUGGGCCGCCACUGACGCUGAGGCGCGAAAGCUAGGGGAGCGAACA
This 401-nucleotide ribosomal RNA is filed under the name uncultured prokaryote. Its description in RNAcentral is "bacterial SSU rRNA". It matches the Rfam family "Bacterial small subunit ribosomal RNA", at positions 355 to 774 of the family's 1533-position model. The record is from RNAcentral.